AACGAACGCUGGCGGCAUGCCUAACACAUGCAAGUCGAACGAAGUCUUCGGACUUAGUGGCGCACGGGUGCGUAACGCGUGGGAAUCUGCCCUUGGGUGCGGAAUAACUUCUCGAAAGGGAUGCUAAUACCGCAUAAUGUCGUAAGACCAAAGAUUUAUCGCCCAAGGAUGAGCCCGCGUAAGAUUAGCUAGUUGGUGGGGUAAAAGCCUACCAAGGCGACGAUCUUUAGCUGGUCUGAGAGGAUGAUCAGCCACACUGGGACUGAGACACGGCCCAGACUCCUACGGAGGCAGCAGUGGGGAAUAUUGCGC
Molecule: ribosomal RNA, 312 nt
Filed under: uncultured bacterium
Lineage: Bacteria
Description: bacterial SSU rRNA
Rfam family: Bacterial small subunit ribosomal RNA
Source: RNAcentral